This 254-nucleotide ribosomal RNA is filed under the name uncultured Delftia sp. Its description in RNAcentral is "partial 16S ribosomal RNA". It matches the Rfam family "Bacterial small subunit ribosomal RNA", at positions 99 to 355 of the family's 1533-position model. The record is from RNAcentral. Lineage: Bacteria; Pseudomonadati; Pseudomonadota; Betaproteobacteria; Burkholderiales; Comamonadaceae.
CGAACGGGUGAGUAAUACAUCGGAACGUGCCCAGUCGUGGGGGAUAACUACUCGAAAGAGUAGCUAAUACCGCAUACGAUCUGAGGAUGAAAGCGGGGGACCUUCGGGCCUCGCGCGAUUGGAGCGGCCGAUGGCAGAUUAGGUAGUUGGUGGGAUAAAAGCUUACCAAGCCGACGAUCUGUAGCUGGUCUGAGAGGACGACCAGCCACACUGGGACUGAGACACGGCCCAGACUCCUACGGGAGGCAGCAGCA